Molecule: ribosomal RNA, 408 nt
Filed under: uncultured bacterium
Lineage: Bacteria
Description: partial 16S ribosomal RNA
Rfam family: Bacterial small subunit ribosomal RNA
Source: RNAcentral
AGUGAACGCUGGCGGCGUGCCUAAUACAUGCAAGUCGAACGGAGUGGCGCACGGGUGAGUAAUAUAUAGCUAAUCUGCCCCUUGCUGGAGGACAACAGUUAGAAAUGACUGCUAAUACUCCAUAGACCGGGAUGAGACUAUAUCGUAUCAGCUAGUCGGUGGGGUAACGGCCUACCGAGGCUAUGACGCGUAACUGGUCUGAGAGGAUGAUCAGUCACAUUGGAACUGAGACACGGUCCAAACUCCUACGGGAGGCAGCAGUAGGGAAGAUUGCGCAAUCGGUGUAACUCUGACGCGGCAACGCCGCGUGGAGGAUGACACUUUUCGGAGCGUAAACUCCUUUUGUUAGGGAAGCGGUACCUAACGAAUAAGCACCGGCUAACUCCGUGCCAGCCGCCGCGGUAAUUC